This 561-nucleotide ribosomal RNA is filed under the name uncultured organism. RNAcentral's name for it is "bacterial SSU rRNA". It matches the Rfam family "Bacterial small subunit ribosomal RNA", at positions 29 to 608 of the family's 1533-position model. The record is from RNAcentral.
AUGAACGCUGGCGGCGUGCUUAACACAUGCAAGUCGAACGUGAAGCCCGGUACCUAGUAUUGGGUGGAAAGUGGCGGACGGGUGCGUAACACGUUGGUGACCUGCCCCGAGGUGGGGGAUAACCGUGGGAAACCACGGCUAAUACCCCGGAUGCCAAAGUAUUUAGAAAGCUUUGGCUAAAGCUCCGGCGCCUCGGGAGGGGCUGCGGGCUAUCAGCUUGUGGUGGGGUAAUGGCUACAAGGCAAAAGACGGCUAGGGGGCGUGAGAGCGCGACCCCACAAUGGAACUGAGACACGGUCCAUACUCCUACGGGAGGCAGCAGUGAGGAAUAUUGCGCAAUGGGGGCGACCCUGACGCAGCAACGCCGCGUGGAUGAUGAAGGCCUUCGGGUUGUAAAAUCCUUUUCCGGGGGAAGAAUCAUGACGGUACCUCGGGAAUAAGUCCCGGCUAACUACGUGCCAGCAGCCGCGGUAAAACGUAGGGGGCGAGCGUUAUCCGGAUUUACUGGGCGUAAAGCGCACGUAGGCGGCGCUUGUAAGGUUGGGCGUGAAAGCUCCCGGC